This 399-nucleotide long non-coding RNA is filed under the name Capsicum annuum. Its description in RNAcentral is "long non-coding RNA (CANN_LNC021408)". Lineage: Eukaryota; Viridiplantae; Streptophyta; Magnoliopsida; Solanales; Solanaceae. The record is from RNAcentral.
ACUGGAUUCAAUGGAUCCAAAUCAAAAUUUUCAAUCUAUCCCUCUCAAAUCGCCAAAUAGCAACGAAAACAAUAUAAAAAUAGAUGUCUCACCUGCGUCAAAAGUUAGCUUCAAAGACAAGCUUCCACUCAACGAAAAAAAAUUGAAAUCAAAAUGAAUUUCUCCAAUAAUAUUUUGCUUGACGAAGCAGAAGAUCAAUUGGAAUCCCGACAGAAGAUGAUACGGUGACCAAUGAAUUUAAAGUCAUUCAUCUUUUCGGGAAAGUAAAAAUCCAACUACACUCACCUUGAAAAUACUCUCUAAUCAUCAAGUUACUGGUGUGUGUGUGUGUGUGUGUUUGUGCAUCAUUGUCUUAAAACAAAGAUUCAAGAUCUAUGGAGACCUUCAGAGCAAUUUCUU